RNAcentral lists this ribosomal RNA (831 nucleotides) under uncultured bacterium. RNAcentral describes it as "bacterial SSU rRNA". It matches the Rfam family "Bacterial small subunit ribosomal RNA", at positions 59 to 882 of the family's 1533-position model. The record is from RNAcentral.
CAGUCGAGGGGAACGGCAUCAGCGCUUGCGCCUGAUGGACGUCGACCGGCGCACGGGUGAGUAACGCGUAUCCAACCUGCCCCACACUAAGGGACAACCCGCAGAAAUGUGGGCUAAUACCUUAUAUUUUCCACCAAGGGCAUCGUCGAUGGAACAAAGAUUUAUCGGUAUGGGAUGGGGAUGCGUCCGAUUAGGUUGUUGGCGGGGUAACGGCCCACCAAGCCAUCGAUCGGUAGGGGUUCUGAGAGGAAGGUCCCCCACAUAGGAACUGAGACACGGUCCUAACUCCUACGGGAGGCAGCAGUGAGGAAUAUUGGUCAAUGGGCGGGAGCCUGAACCAGCCAAGUAGCGUGCAGGAAGACGGCCCUAUGGGUUGUAAACUGCUUUUAUGCGGGGAUAAAGGAGUCCACGUGUGGGCUUUUGCAGGUACCGCAUGAAUAAGGACCGGCUAAUUCCGUGCCAGCAGCCGCGGUAAUACGGAAGGUCCGGGCGUUAUCCGGAUUUAUUGGGUUUAAAGGGAGCGUAGGCCGCGUUUUAAGCGUGUUGUGAAAUGUAGGCGCCCAACGUCUGCAUCGCAGCGCGAACUGGAACGCUUGAGUACGCGCAACGUUGGCGGAAUUCGUCGUGUAGCGGUGAAAUGCUUAGAUAUGACGAAGAACUCCGAUUGCGAAGGCAGCUGACGGGAGCGGCACUGACGCUUAAGCUCGAAGGUGCGGGUAUCAAACAGGAUUAGAUACCCUGGUAGUCCGCACGGUAAACGAUGGAUGCUCGCUGUGUGCCUUUUGUGGUACGCGGCUAAGCGAAAGCGUUAAGCAUCCCACCUGGGGAGUA